RNAcentral lists this ribosomal RNA (411 nucleotides) under Yoldia hyperborea. RNAcentral's name for it is "partial 16S ribosomal RNA". Lineage: Eukaryota; Metazoa; Mollusca; Bivalvia; Nuculanida sp.; Yoldiidae. The record is from RNAcentral.
CUGCUCUAGAACUAGGUAAGUGCUAUUCCCUUCAUCUUUACGCCUUAUGCAGCUGAGACGUAGUCAUUGUAGCAUAGAUCACUUUCUACAAAAUCAUCAAAUAGACAGAAUUUGAAUUAGGCAAAAUUGGAAAUAAAUUAUAGAUGUUGAUGAUUUGGCCUGUGUUUUGGUGUAUGUUUCAAAAGCUGUGGAAAAUUUGGAAGGUAUUGUACAGGCUAUAUAUCAAGAAUAAGCAAGAUUGUGAUUUUUUGAAAGUCUAUCGUCUGUAGAUUCAACCAAUACUCGUAUGUGAUAACGGCGCGGUAGUGGUAGAUUGGUGUGGCUUAUCGCCUCCUGACCAUUUCCGACCACUGUUAUAAAUUUUUUAUAAUUAGAAAAUUAUAAUUUNUUSAGCUGAYGAAAAGUUCAAUG